UACGUAGGGGGCAAGCGUUGUCCGGAUUUAUUGGGCGUAAAGAGCGUGUAGGCGGUUUGGUAGGUCCGCUGUGAAAACUCGAGGCUCAACCUCGAGACGUCGGCGGAAACCAUCUGGCUAGAGUCCGGAAGAGGAGAGUGGAAUUCCUGGUGUAGCGGUGAAAUGCGCAGAUAUCAGGAAGAACACCCGUGGCGAAGGCGGCUCUCUGGGACGGUACUGACGCUGAGACGCGAAAGCGUGGGGAGCGAACAGG
This 253-nucleotide ribosomal RNA is filed under the name uncultured bacterium. RNAcentral's name for it is "partial 16S ribosomal RNA". It matches the Rfam family "Bacterial small subunit ribosomal RNA", at positions 524 to 776 of the family's 1533-position model. The record is from RNAcentral.